GGUUUCCUACGGGGGGCAGCAGUGGGGAAUAUUGCACAAUGGGGGAAACCCUGAUGCAGCGACGCCGCGUGAAGGAAGAAGUAUUUCGGUAUGUAAACUUCUAUCAGCAGGGAAGAAAAUGACGGUACCUGACUAAGAAGCCCCGGCUAACUCCGUGCCAGCAGCCGCGGUAAUACGGAGGAUGCGAGCGUUAUCCGGAUUUAUUGGGUUUAAAGGGUGCGCAGGCGGCGUGUCAAGCAAGCGGUAAAAUAGCGGGGCUCAACCCCGUCGAGCCGUUUGAACUGGCGCGCUUGAGUUCAGGCGAG
This 305-nucleotide ribosomal RNA is filed under the name uncultured bacterium. Its description in RNAcentral is "bacterial SSU rRNA". It matches the Rfam family "Bacterial small subunit ribosomal RNA", at positions 333 to 656 of the family's 1533-position model. The record is from RNAcentral.